This 379-nucleotide ribosomal RNA is filed under the name uncultured eukaryote. RNAcentral's name for it is "partial 18S ribosomal RNA". It matches the Rfam family "Eukaryotic small subunit ribosomal RNA", at positions 592 to 976 of the family's 1831-position model. The record is from RNAcentral.
CAAUAGCGUAUAUUUAAGUUGUUGCAGUUAAAAAGCUCGUAGUUGGAUUUCGGGUAGGAUUUGCCGGUCCGUCUUUGAGAUGCGUACUGGUAAGUCCUAUCUUCUUGUCGGGGACCAGCUCCUGGGCUUCACUGUCCGGGACUGGGAGCCGACGAAGUUACUUUGAGUAAAUUAGAGUGUUCAAAGCAAGCCUACGCUCUGAAUAUAUUAGCAUGGAAUAACACGAUAGGACUCUGGCUUAUCUUGUUGGUCUGUGAGACCAUAGUAAUGAUUAAGAGGGACAGUCGGGGACAUUCGUAUUUCAUUGUCAGAGGUGAAAUUCUUGGAUUUAUGAAAGACGAACUUCUGCGAAAGCAUUUGUCAAGGAUGUUUUCAUUAA